Molecule: ribosomal RNA, 731 nt
Filed under: Actinomycetes bacterium
Lineage: Bacteria; Bacillati; Actinomycetota; Actinomycetes
Description: bacterial SSU rRNA
Rfam family: Bacterial small subunit ribosomal RNA
Source: RNAcentral
UGCUCCUCUGGAUUAGUGGCGAACGGGUGAGUAACACGUGAGCAAUCUGCCCUUGACUCUGGGAUAAGCGCUGGAAACGGCGUCUAAUACCGGAUACGACCCUCGGAGGCAUCUCCUGUGGGUGGAAAGAACUUCGGUCAAGGAUGAGCUCGCGGCCUAUCAGCUUGUUGGUGAGGUAACGGCUCACCAAGGCGACGACGGGUAGCCGGCCUGAGAGGGUGACCGGCCACACUGGGACUGAGACACGGCCCAGACUCCUACGGGAGGCAGCAGUGGGGAAUAUUGCACAAUGGGCGCAAGCCUGAUGCAGCAACGCCGCGUGAGGGACGACGGCCUUCGGGUUGUAAACCUCUUUUAGCAGGGAAGAAGCGAGAGUGACGGUACCUGCAGAAAAAGCACCGGCUAACUACGUGCCAGCAGCCGCGGUAAUACGUAGGGUGCAAGCGUUGUCCGGAAUUAUUGGGCGUAAAGAGCUCGUAGGCGGUCUGUCGCGUCUGCUGUGAAAACCCGAGGCUCAACCUCGGGCUUGCAGUGGGUACGGGCAGACUAGAGUGCGGUAGGGGAGAUUGGAAUUCCUGGUGUAGCGGUGGAAUGCGCAGAUAUCAGGAGGAACACCGAUGGCGAAGGCAGAUCUCUGGGCCGUAACUGACGCUGAGGAGCGAAAGCGUGGGGAGCAAACAGGCUUAGAUACCCUGGUAGUCCACGCCGUAAACGUUGGGAACUAGAUGUGG